CUUUGUUUCUCGUUCAAGACAUCCCAAAUAGUGGAAACCUUAGUGAUCUUCUUUAGGGGAACUGUAUAUGUUGCCUCCUAAUUGUAGAGCUUGAUGUCGACAGGAAUCUUUCCCAGCUCGUUCUUUAGUUCCUUUAUGUCGAUUACGUUUGAUAUAGCACCAAGGCUAUCGAAAAGUUCAUCGUUGGUAAGGUCUUCCUUUUUUUGCGCUAAGUGGUCAGUUGUAGGUCACGAACAUUGUGCAAGGCAAAACAGAAAAGCGCAAUAUAUUGCCUACAAUAGCGAGCUAACGCAAAUACAGCGGUUUGUGCAAGUUUACCAGCACAACAAUGCAUGUAGAGUAAACUAAAUUGAUAUAUAAUAAGAUAAAGGAACAAUAGACCCAUUGCAC
Non-coding RNA from Paramuricea clavata, 390 nucleotides. The record is from the annotation of a GenBank genome assembly. NCBI's taxonomy places the organism in Eukaryota, Metazoa, Cnidaria, Anthozoa, Malacalcyonacea, Plexauridae.